RNAcentral lists this transfer RNA (81 nucleotides) under Coccidioides posadasii C735 delta SOWgp. RNAcentral's name for it is "tRNA-Ser (GCT) (tRNA-Ser-GCT-1-1)". It matches the Rfam family "tRNA". Rfam says of the family: Transfer RNA (tRNA) molecules are approximately 80 nucleotides in length. Their secondary structure includes four short double-helical elements and three loops (D, anti-codon, and T loops). Further hydrogen bonds mediate the characteristic L-shaped molecular structure. tRNAs have two regions of fundamental functional importance: the anti-codon, which is responsible for specific mRNA codon recognition, and the 3' end, to which the tRNAs corresponding amino acid is attached (by aminoacyl-tRNA synthetases). tRNAs cope with the degeneracy of the genetic code in two manners: having more than one tRNA (with a specific anti-codon) for a particular amino acid; and 'wobble' base-pairing, i.e. permitting non-standard base-pairing at the 3rd anti-codon position. The record is from RNAcentral. RNAcentral also lists the same sequence under 14 other names. Lineage: Eukaryota; Fungi; Ascomycota; Eurotiomycetes; Onygenales; Onygenaceae.
GACACUGUGGCGGAGUGGUUAACGCGAUGCCCUGCUAAGGCAUUGCCUUCGGGCGCGCAGGUUCGAAUCCUGCCGGUGUCG